UACGGAGGGUGCAAGCGUUAAUCGGAAUUACUGGGCGUAAAGCGUGCGUAGACGGUUACUUAAGUCAGAUGUGAAAGCCCCGGGCUCAACCUGGGAAUUGCAUUUGAGACUGUGUAGCUAGGGUGCGGAAGAGGGAAGCGGAAUUUCCGGUGUAGCGGUGAAAUGCGUAGAUAUCGGAAGGAACACCAGUGGCGAAAGCGGCUUCCUGGUCCAGCACCGACGUUCAGGCACGAAAGCGUGGGGAGCAAACAGG
Molecule: ribosomal RNA, 253 nt
Filed under: uncultured bacterium
Lineage: Bacteria
Description: partial 16S ribosomal RNA
Rfam family: Bacterial small subunit ribosomal RNA
Source: RNAcentral